This is a regulatory RNA element of Clostridium cadaveris, 84 nucleotides long. It matches the Rfam family "c-di-GMP-I riboswitch aptamer". From Rfam's summary of the family: GEMM was predicted in a large-scale screen for bacterial structured RNA regulatory elements. Genes associated with GEMM are involved in a diverse array of functions, including chemotaxis regulation, signal transduction, secretion and chitin. Lineage: Bacteria; Bacillati; Bacillota; Clostridia; Eubacteriales; Clostridiaceae. The record is from Rfam.
AUAGAAUAUUAGCAAAAUUAGAGAAAUCUAAUGACGCAAAGCUAGAUGGGCUAAAGUCUUACACCAUGCCAGCCAGUUGCCAAA